CCUACGGGGGGCAGCAGUAAGGAAUAUUGGUCAAUGGGCGCAAGCCUGAACCAGCCAUGCCGCGUGAAGGAUGACGGCCCUAUGGGUUGUAAACUUCUUUUGUACGGGAAAAAACCACCGGUCGUGAAUCGGUGCUGAUGGUACCGUAAGAAUAAGCAUCGGCUAACUCCGUGCCAGCAGCCGCGGUAAUACGGAGGAUGCAAGCGUUAUCCGGAUACAUGGGGUGUAGGGGGUACACUGGCGGAGCGGUGAAAGCCUACAGCUUAACGGUAGAACUGCCAUUGAUACUGUUAUUCUUGAGUGUUGUUGAGGUAGGCGGAAUGUGUCAUGUAGCGGUGAAAUGCUUAGAUAUGACACAGAACACCGAUCGCGAAGGCAGCUUACCAAGCAACAACUGACGCUCAUGCACGAAAGCGUGGGGAUCAAACAGGAUUAGAUACCCGGGUAGUC
RNAcentral lists this ribosomal RNA (450 nucleotides) under uncultured bacterium. Its description in RNAcentral is "partial 16S ribosomal RNA". It matches the Rfam family "Bacterial small subunit ribosomal RNA", at positions 338 to 795 of the family's 1533-position model. The record is from RNAcentral.